This 465-nucleotide ribosomal RNA is filed under the name Vreelandella stevensii. RNAcentral describes it as "partial 16S ribosomal RNA". It matches the Rfam family "Bacterial small subunit ribosomal RNA", at positions 338 to 795 of the family's 1533-position model. The record is from RNAcentral. Lineage: Bacteria; Pseudomonadati; Pseudomonadota; Gammaproteobacteria; Oceanospirillales; Halomonadaceae.
CCUACGGGUGGCAGCAGUGGGGAAUAUUGGACAAUGGGCGAAAGCCUGAUCCAGCCAUGCCGCGUGUGUGAAGAAGGCCUUCGGGUUGUAAAGCACUUUCAGUGGGGAAGAAAGCCUUGGGGCUAAUACCCUCGAGGAAGGACAUCACCCACAGAAGAAGCACCGGCUAACUCCGUGCCAGCAGCCGCGGUAAUACGGAGGGUGCGAGCGUUAAUCGGAAUUACUGGGCGUAAAGCGCGCGUAGGCGGUCUGAUAAGCCGGUUGUGAAAGCCCCGGGCUCAACCUGGGAACGGCAUCCGGAACUGUCAGGCUAGAGUGCAGGAGAGGAAGGUAGAAUUCCCGGUGUAGCGGUGAAAUGCGUAGAGAUCGGGAGGAAUACCAGUGGCGAAGGCGGCCUUCUGGACUGACACUGACGCUGAGGUGCGAAAGCAUGGGUAGCAAACAGGAUUAGAUACCCGUGUAGUC